Molecule: ribosomal RNA, 253 nt
Filed under: uncultured bacterium
Lineage: Bacteria
Description: partial 16S ribosomal RNA
Rfam family: Bacterial small subunit ribosomal RNA
Source: RNAcentral
UACGUAGGUGGCGAGCGUUGUCCGGAUUUACUGGGCGUAAAGGGAGCGUAGGCGGACUUUUAAGUGAGAUGUGAAAUACUCGGGCUCAACUUGAGUGCUGCAUUUCAAACUGGAAGUCUAGAGUGCAGGAGAGGAGAAUGGAAUUCCUAGUGUAGCGGUGAAAUGCGUAGAGAUUAGGAAGAACACCAGUGGCGAAGGCGAUUCUCUGGACUGUAACUGACGCUGAGGCUCGAAAGCAUGGGUAGCGAACAGG